RNAcentral lists this ribosomal RNA (221 nucleotides) under uncultured bacterium. Its description in RNAcentral is "partial 16S ribosomal RNA". It matches the Rfam family "Bacterial small subunit ribosomal RNA", at positions 113 to 334 of the family's 1533-position model. The record is from RNAcentral.
CGACGUGGGUAACCUGCCUCGUACAGGGAGAUAACAGUUAGAAAUGACUGCUAAUACCGCAUGAGCGCACAGUGCUGCAUGGCACAGUGUGAAAAACUCCGGUGGUAUGAGAUGGACCCGCGUCUGAUUAGCUGGUUGGCGGGGUAACGGCCUACCAAGGCGACGAUCAGUAGCCGACCUGAGAGGGUGACCGGCCGCAUUGGGACUGAGACACGGCCCAG